AGUAACACGUAAACAACCUGCCUUCAGGAUGGGGACAACAGACGGAAACGACUGCUAAUACCGAAUAAGUUCCAAGAGCCGCAUGGCCCAUGGAAGAAAAGGUGGCCUCUACCUGUAAGCUAUCGCCUGAAGAGGGGUUUGCGUCUGAUUAGCUGGUUGGAGGGGUAACGGCCCACCAAGGCGACGAUCAGUAGCCGGUCUGAGAGGAUGAACGGCCACAUUGGGACUGAGACACGGCCCAGACUCCUACGGGAGGCAGCAUG
RNAcentral lists this ribosomal RNA (263 nucleotides) under uncultured bacterium. Its description in RNAcentral is "partial 16S ribosomal RNA". It matches the Rfam family "Bacterial small subunit ribosomal RNA", at positions 109 to 353 of the family's 1533-position model. The record is from RNAcentral.